Dreissena polymorpha is the source of this 620-nucleotide long non-coding RNA. RefSeq lists it as uncharacterized. The transcript has 3 exons. Lineage: Eukaryota; Metazoa; Mollusca; Bivalvia; Myida; Dreissenidae. The record is from RefSeq and is a predicted model, not a curated record.
CAUGCGCAGAUGUUAAUUCCGCCUCGCGAAAACAUUCAAAACAAAAACACUCGAAACGAAAAUAAAAUAUUCACCACCACCUGGUUUGCCAACAUCGUCUUUACAAGGAAUGUCCAGCAGUGCAUGACAGAGGCCGGUCACUCCCAUUAAGUCCAGCUGAAGAGCCUUCCCAGUUUAUAGGACAAAAUGCAGUUACACAGAUUUUAACGGUGUUGGAAACAAUCAGAGACGAGAACAGGGAAAUGAAGCGGAUGCUGCAGCGGCUCUUGGCUAGGUCAGCUACUGAUGACAAGCCAAUGCAACUGCCAGAGAACAUCAGUCUUCCAAUUGGAACAUUUGAGCAAAUGGAUGAGUUUGAAGAGCAUCUUGGUGAUGAAGCUACGAUCCAUCUUUUCUAGGACUGCUGCAUAGUUCAAGCUUUUUUAUCAAAUAUAUUAAGCAAUGUUGUCAAUGUAAUUGACAGUUCUUUCUUCAUUGAUCCUAAACCAUUCCUUUAAGGCUCAUCUUCUAAGAAAGCAUACAAUUUUUUUUAUCUGGAAAUGAAAUGGUAUAUAUUCCUUUGCAAAAGAAGAAACAGCAUUCCAGUUUUUGAAGGUUUUAAAAGACAUAUAUAUAUAUAU